This is a long non-coding RNA of Lycium barbarum (goji berry), 787 nucleotides long. RefSeq lists it as uncharacterized. The record is from RefSeq and is a predicted model, not a curated record. Lineage: Eukaryota; Viridiplantae; Streptophyta; Magnoliopsida; Solanales; Solanaceae. The transcript is spliced from 2 exons.
UUUUCUCCUUCUUUUCCGCCUCUCUUUCCCCUUUCUCCUUCUUUCCGCCUCCUCAUCUCCCUCGUCUCUCUCGACCCUACCUCUUUCCUCUUUCCGCCGCUACCCCACUUCCGCGCCUCCUCAUCCCCACACCACGCUCUGUCCCCCACUCACUACACCCCGCUCCUCUUCUUCUUCCAUCUAAAACCCUAAUCACAAUCCUAUAAAAAGGGGGGGAUUUCAGAUUGUUAGGGGAGGGAAAUUUUUGGGAAUGAUAAAAUUCAUUCUUUCCGGUGAACUUUAGCCGGACAUCGCUCUAAAUCAUUAUAUUUUCACAUAAUAAAAAAAAAUUCCUUUUUUUUUAUCGCAAGCAGUGUUGGUUCGUCGUCCUCGAGUAGAUCCGGAACCCCGACGACCUCAGUUUACUGCACAAAAACGAGACUUGUCUUCUUCCGCACUUGGCGUUGGGCUAAAAGCCCAACAUGACUCUCCUCUUCAAGUCAGCCAACCUACAACCAAACAAGGAAAUAAAAUUUGGGCCAAAGCCCAAUUAGUGUGAACAGCUACAGUAGCGGACAACAGCAUUCUUUAAUGGGCUGAGCCCAUUUGCAUCAUUCCUAUUCCUCUAAUCUUUUUUUAUUAUGUGCGUUUAACGUGUAUUGUAUGAUUAACAUUGUGUUUGCUAAUUUAGAUAAACUUUAAUAACAUUAAGGAUCUUAGUUUAGUUAUGGGUAGUUAAUUUCACAAAUUACAUUCACUUCUAUUUUUUUUAAAAAAACUAUUUAUAAUAUCUAUAACAUUUAUUUGA